GACGAACGCUGGCGGCGUGCCUAAUACAUGCAAGUAGAACGCACAGUUUAUACCGUAGCUUGCUACACCAUAAACUGUGAGUUGCGAACGGGUGAGUAACGCGUAGGUAACCUGCCUGGUAGCGGGGGAUAACUAUUGGAAACGAUAGCUAAUACCGCAUAAUAUUAAUUAUUGCAUGAUAAUUGAUUGAAAGAUGCAAUUGCAUCACUACCAGAUGGACCUGCGUUGUAUUAGCUAGUAGGUGAGGUAACGGCUCACCUAGGCGACGAUACAUAGCCGACCUGAGAGGGUGAUCGGCCACACUGGGACAGAGACACGGCCCAGACUCCUACGGGAGGCAGCAGUAGGGAAUCUUCGGCAAUGGACGAAAGUCUGACCGAGCAACGCCGCGUGAGUGAAGAAGGUUGUCGGAUCGUAAAGCUCUGUUGUAAGAGAAGAACGGGUGUGAGAGUGGAAAGUUCACACUGUGACGGUAUCUUACCAGAAAGGGACGGCUAACUACGUG
RNAcentral lists this ribosomal RNA (505 nucleotides) under uncultured bacterium. RNAcentral's name for it is "partial 16S ribosomal RNA". It matches the Rfam family "Bacterial small subunit ribosomal RNA", at positions 28 to 507 of the family's 1533-position model. The record is from RNAcentral.